AAAACCCUAACGCCAUUUCUCCCCUUCCUCCCUGAUUUCUCUGCACAACCCGAGAGAGAGCGACGGUCCCCAUGAGUACUCCGGCGAUGGCAAGCCACUGGCCAAAAGAAAAAGAGAGAGAGAGUGAGGAGACCAGAGCGAGAAAAUCAGAAGAGGGAGGCACAGCUGAGCUGCCUUUGGUUGGCUCGCCAGCGCAUGCACGCAUAGGAAGUGCGCGUGCAGCUCCGUCGAGCCAAUAUGAGGUGGCGCCCAUGAGGAGGCGACGUGCGCAUGGCUAAAUGAGCAGCGACCAUCAACGUGCGAGCAGCGACGGAGACGCUCAACUGAGGAGAUCCGCGCGCACGUCACAAAUGCCGAGGAGCCACCGGAGAAGAAGGGCAAGAGGACUUCGGCGAGCUCCACGGCGACCAUGUCAGUGUGAUUAAGGAAUGGUGCCCAAAAGUUGCUUGGCAUCCUGAUUGCUAUUGGGGAAGCAGUGGCAUAUGUUCUGUUUGGAAUGUAUGGUAGUAUAAGUCAACAUGGAACUGGGAAUGCUUUUCUCAUUAUACUCCAACUCUCUUUUGCUGGUAUCAUUGUCAUUUGCCUGGAUGAGCUUCUCCAGAAGGGAUAUGGUUUGGGUUCUUGCAUUUCUAUGUUUGUUGCCACUAAUAUCUAGUAUGCAUGACAAGUGGGUUCCAACUGUUGAUUACUAGAGCUGACAAAGUCCUAAUCUCAAUAUUUUAUUCAAAAGUAAAAUUAAUAUUGAUACUUGAUAUUGACUAUUGCCAUUACUUGUAUAAUGAUUUUAAAGUAUAUUAAACUAAUAAAAACAAGGAAACUAGAAGAAAGGAUUGGGUUUGUUAGCAUUAAAGAACUAAUAUUUUACUUUCAUAUAAAUGGUUGUUGUUAGUUUCCUGUCAGCUAUGACACUGAAACCCCGCAUGACUGACCCGUGUUAUUGGUUCUCUGAUUUCUCAGUGAAAAUCACAUCCAAGAUAUGGCUUGACACUAAUAAGAUUACACAAAAUUAGUGAUUUGGACAUCUUUUAUGUUGCCCUUUCAAUCUUUUACAAAUGCAAAAGAAAGAAACAUUAUUAAGAUAUCUGUUGAAUAUGUUCCAAAAAGGGGAUCAUGACUGCAAAACUUGAACUUUUAUUCUGUUUAUGCUCAAAGCCCUCGGUUACAACCAUGCUCAUUUGGGACAUUAGGCUAAAACUCAUAUGUUCGUGAGGCCUUCUAACGCUAGAAUCUUCCCAAUGUAACCAACUUGCUUGCCACUAUGUUGGUCUUUCUCAUAGUUAUCUACUUCCUAGGCUUCCGUGUUGUGCUUCCAGUUAGAUCGAAAAAUGCUUGUGGACAGCAAGGCUCAUAUCCUAUUAAACUAUUAUACACUUCUAACAUGCCCAUCAUUCUGCAUUCUACACUUAUUACUAACCUCUACUUCAUAUCCCAGGUAUAUAUACUUGAAAUUAAUGCAUGGCAAUUUAUGUCAUUUUGUUCAAGUGAUAACAUGUAGUUUAUUGCUGUGACUGCGGCUCUAUAGGAAGUACAGUGGAAAUUUCUUGGUAAACUUCCUUGGGAAAUGGAAGGAAUCCGAGUAUUCUGGGCACUCUAUUCCUGCUGGAGGUCUUGCUUACUAUGUCACUACCCCUUCAAGCUAAUUUUGGCUAUUCUUAUCUUCCCUUUCAUUCACAGGAGUGUUUCUCUCACUGGCUAGCUCUCCCCUUUCAUUCACAGGAGUGUUUCUCUCACUGUCUAGCUCUCUUUCGGACCACUACUUGUUUUUCUUUUGGAUAUAUUCCAUCUACAUUAUUAAGUGUUACUAACUGCUGAUGUGCUUGCAAAUCCAUUCCAUUCGCUGUUAUAUGUGGUUUUCAUGCUGUCUACUUGCGCACUCUUCUCAAAGAUAUAGAUUGAAGUCUCUGGUUCAUCAGCCAAGGAUGUUGCUAAGCAGCUCAAGGUAACCAAUAUGCAUAAAUGUUUAGUUAGUUACUAUGAUCUGUUUGAGUAGCACCUUGUAAAUCCUUUAGGCAAGUUAUGGCAUUUCUCCUGUAUUUGAUUGUGGCAUUGACAUGGGAAAAUUGGGUGUUUUCAUCACCAAAUUUGACCCAGUUAUUCUGCCAAAAUAAAGUAAUAUAAAUUUGCAGUAUGACUUGGUGCUUUAUCUUAUUGAAAACCUUUUCAAAGUCUAGGUUUAGAAUUACUUGUUCCCUCCUCGAUUACAAGUCCAUGUUUAGUUGGCGAUUUUUGAUAUAAUAAUAUCAUUUUUACCUAUUCAGAUACACGAUGAAUGUUUAUAUCGUUCUUCAAUGGUAAUCACAUUUAGCCAAUUUGGUUGCCAAAUAAGAUGGUCUAGCACUGCCUAACCCACUUAAUAUAUCAAGAAAUAGAAUAAAUUAACCCAUCACUAAUCGUACUCAUCAAUGGGUCAUACGGUGCACUAUUGCACCAACGGCGUGCUAUUUUCUAGUUGAAUAUUUAGUCAUGUCAUUGAUGAGCUGAUUUAAAAUAGCAUUUUCUGUCCACUCAUCUAUAGCUUAUUGUGAUUACGAUUGAAGCAGUUCGAUUAGAUUUGCUAGAAGAUUCAUUCGUUGGAGUGUUGUGGCAAGCCCUCUUCAAACAAUCUCCCGAAAGAAUCUUGUGAUAUAUCUGAAAAUAAUAUUAGAUUUGCUAGAAGAUUCUUUCUAGUUGAAUAUCUAGUCAUGUCAUUGGUGAGCUUAUUUAAAUAGCAUUUUCUGUCCACUCAUCUAUAACUUAUUGUGAUAUAUCUGAAAUUGGUAGAAGAUUCACUCAGGACAGACAAUCUCCUGAAAGAAUCUUGUGAUAUAUCUGAUAAUCUGAAAUUAUAAUAUUAGAUUUGCUAGAAGAUUUGCUUUCCCCAUUGAACCUUUUUUUUCUAAUAUUAGAAAUACCACUUGUGAUAUAUCUGAAAUUAUAUGAUUUUAUUAAGUCCUUUUAUUUCACCUUAUUUUUUCUAAUAAGGGAGUAAAAUAGCAUAGAAAUAGAGGUGGCAACUGUGCACUUGAAGCCACCAUAUUACUGUGAAUCAAAUUAUGCAGCUGGCGUGACAAGCUUUUAAGCCUGUAAAUUAGAGGAGCUUUUAAGCUUUGAAGCCUGUAAAUUCAUCUGUUCCUGUAGGGAAGGGCAUGAUAGUCCAGCUGAGUGCUGGACUGUGGUGGCUGCUUGUUUGCUUCCUAGUGAGAGUCUCGAUGUUUGUACAGCAGGGCUGGGAGGAAUAGGGAUUGAUCCAAACAUGGGAGGACAAUGCAUGGGAAGGCCGUUCAUGCGCCGAAUGAGAAAUUCACUUCACAUGAGAGAGUUUGGGUGUGGAAAGGUGCAGCUGCAAUGCGAUGAAGCUCCUGACAACACGAAAAUUUGCAGCUUUGCUCCCGAACAGAUAGCACUGCAUUGGCUUGGAUUUUUUUUUAAUAUUACAUUUUUAUAGAUAUUACAGAAAUAGUACCGAAAAUGAGAAAAUUUUAAAAUAAUACCUAUUCGUCCUACCGAAUUGAGAAAUCUUA
Phragmites australis (common reed) is the source of this 3500-nucleotide long non-coding RNA. RefSeq lists it as uncharacterized. NCBI's taxonomy places the organism in Eukaryota, Viridiplantae, Streptophyta, Magnoliopsida, Poales, Poaceae. The transcript is spliced from 3 exons. The record is from RefSeq and is a predicted model, not a curated record.